Molecule: ribosomal RNA, 641 nt
Filed under: Flavobacterium sp.
Lineage: Bacteria; Pseudomonadati; Bacteroidota; Flavobacteriia; Flavobacteriales; Flavobacteriaceae
Description: bacterial SSU rRNA
Rfam family: Bacterial small subunit ribosomal RNA
Source: RNAcentral
CGGCGCACGGGUGCGUAACGCGUAUGCAAUCUACCUUUUACAGAGGGAUAGCCCAGAGAAAUUUGGAUUAAUACCUCAUAGUAUAGCAGUUUCGCAUGAAACCACUAUUAAAGUCACAACGGUAAAAGAUGAGCAUGCGUCCCAUUAGCUAGUUGGUAAGGUAACGGCUUACCAAGGCUACGAUGGGUAGGGGUCCUGAGAGGGAGAUCCCCCACACUGGUACUGAGACACGGACCAGACUCCUACGGGAGGCAGCAGUGAGGAAUAUUGGACAAUGGGCGCAAGCCUGAUCCAGCCAUGCCGCGUGCAGGAUGACGGUCCUAUGGAUUGUAAACUGCUUUUAUACAGGAAGAAACCCUGGUUCGUGAACCAGCUUGACGGUACUGUAAGAAUAAGGAUCGGCUAACUCCGUGCCAGCAGCCGCGGUAAUACGGAGGAUCCAAGCGUUAUCCGGAAUCAUUGGGUUUAAAGGGUCCGUAGGCGGUUUAAUAAGUCAGUGGUGAAAGCCCAUCGCUCAACGGUGGAACGGCCAUUGAUACUGUUAAACUUGAAUUAUUAGGAAGUAACUAGAAUAUGUAGUGUAGCGGUGAAAUGCUUAGAGAUUACAUGGAAUACCAAUUGCGAAGGCAGGUUACUACUAA